RNAcentral lists this ribosomal RNA (416 nucleotides) under uncultured bacterium. Its description in RNAcentral is "bacterial SSU rRNA". It matches the Rfam family "Bacterial small subunit ribosomal RNA", at positions 355 to 786 of the family's 1533-position model. The record is from RNAcentral.
UGAGGAAUAUUGCACAAUGGGGGCAACCCUGAUGCAGCGACGCCGCGUGGGUGAUGAAGGUUUUCGGAUCGUAAAGCCCUUUUCUGCAUGACGAGCACAGGACGGUAGUGCAGGAAUAAGUGUCGGCUAACUACGUGCCAGCAGCCGCGGUAAAACGUAGGACACAAGCGUUAUCCGGAAUUACUGGGCGUAAAGGGCGUGCAGGCGGUUGCGUAAGUUAGGCGUGAAAGACUUCGGCUAAACCGGGGGAGGUCGUCUGAUACUGCGCAACUAGAGUAUGGUAGAGGCGUGUAGAAUUCCGGGUGUAGUGGUGAAAUGCGUAGAGAUCCGGAGGAAUACCAGUGGCGAAGGCGGCACGCUGGGCCAUAACUGACGCUAAGACGCGAAAGCAUGGGUAGCGAACGGGAUUAGAUACC